Non-coding RNA from Paramormyrops kingsleyae, 282 nucleotides. Lineage: Eukaryota; Metazoa; Chordata; Actinopteri; Osteoglossiformes; Mormyridae. The record is from RefSeq and is a predicted model, not a curated record.
CUCCCUCACCCGCAGGUUGUGCAUCCAGCGCUGCGGUGGGCAGUACAGGCGCCGCGGUGCACGGAGCCUCACCUGUUGGGGAUGGUGUGACUGUAAGAUAUGGGCGAGUCCAUGCAGACGGGCAGCGGCGGCUGUGCGACACGCGGGCGGAAAGAAGACGCAUCAGCCACCCCGUUCGCUCCCCAUGUUUAGACUGCAUCAGGUUUUUUCUGGAGUCCCACGACCAGCACUAAACCUCAGCUCCACGGAUCUGGGUGCUACCUGACUGGGCUCCGGCCAGGA